CAGUCGCCGCGGUAAAACGUAGGUGGCAAGCGUUGUCCGGAAUUAUUGGGCGUAAAGGGCUCGCAGGCGGUUUCUUAAGUCUGAUGUGAAAGCCCCCGGCUCAACCGGGGAGGGUCAUUGGAAACUGGGAAACUUGAGUGCAGAAGAGGAGAGUGGAAUUCCACGUGUAGCGGUGAAAUGCGUAGAGAUGUGGAGGAACACCAGUGGCGAAGGCGACUCUCUGGUCUGUAACUGACGCUGAGGUGCGAAAGCGUGGGGAGCGAACAGGAUUAGAUACCCCCGUAGUCCCUGUCUCUUAUAC
RNAcentral lists this ribosomal RNA (301 nucleotides) under uncultured bacterium. RNAcentral's name for it is "partial 16S ribosomal RNA". It matches the Rfam family "Bacterial small subunit ribosomal RNA", at positions 509 to 807 of the family's 1533-position model. The record is from RNAcentral.